AAUUUUGCCUGGACCCCACUCGGGUGGCCACAGGCGUGGAUUCGCAGUUGCGCUAUCUGCAUUGGAGCCCAUCUGCUGCUUUUCCUUGGACAAUGGCUGCCCGUUUAGGGUUGUGACCCAGGAGUCGCUGUGGUUAUCAACUGCGAGAGCUCAAACGGACACAUGAGAAGCAGCUUUGUUUAGCGUCCUUGACAUAACUAACCACAUAUUAACAACAGAGCCUUGUGGUAUAGAGGCUCCUGUUUGUUCAGAAUCUUAAUAGGUGGGCUUUGUGCACAUGGAUUUCUAAUACUGCUUACCCUGUAUUUUAAGUCAAAGAGGGUCUUUGUGUGAAGGAUUCUCCACCUCCUUUUCCCUUUCUACGAAGGAGGCACAAAGCUGAUCAUUCAGUGGAGUCCAUUCUCACCAUGAGAAGAACAUUCUACUGUCAGCAGGCAGAGUGAGGAUGGAGACAUCACUGAUUCACUUGGCUAGUUCCAUGUGGGCAUUCCAUGUCCAUGGAUGAAUGGAUAAGUAACUGAUCCACAAGAGGAGGGCUCACGGGCAGAAGAGAUUUGCCUUGCCUCAGAUGACACUUUGGACUGUGGACUUUUGAGUUAAUGCUGAUAUGAGUUAAGACUUUGGGGGACUUAGGAAG
Molecule: long non-coding RNA, 637 nt
Filed under: Homo sapiens (human)
Lineage: Eukaryota; Metazoa; Chordata; Mammalia; Primates; Hominidae
Description: HSALNT0298172
Source: RNAcentral